GCUGCUAAAGCAAAAAUUAAAGUAUGCUAACCUUUGUGUUUCUUUUUUUAUUUCAGUAGUUGUUGAGAAGCUAAAAUAAAUCUAGAUUAUGGCUUUUUAAAUGGAUGGAGCUGGAAACCCACUUAACAGACAAGAAGCAUCUACAUAUACUACUGAAUGUUUAAAGGAUACACAAACAAAAACUUGUGUAGAGUCUAAAGGAUUGUUUCUCUACUACACCUCCUCUACCUUACGGCUGUCACAAGAGCCACCCUAGAGGUACCUCGGGUUAAUAUUCUGCCCCAGAGCUACAACUUCUUACUUUGCCCACCUCUGCCCUUAAGCUACCGCUCUAGAAAGCCUGCAGCUACUACACUUACUUGACAUCAUUUUGUAAGUAUACCGUUCUCUCUGGCAUCUCCAGAGGAGGAGACAGCUCAUCAGUCACAGGAACACCACAAAACUUGUAGGGAGAUAGCAAGCUGACUGGGAGACAGUAACUCUUUGUUUCCACCACCACCACCCCAGGGAGCUACAGCCGGGGAAAAUAUAUGUUGGGAAUGUGAAAGGUGCCCCUGGUCAGUUGUCCAGCUUGCCAACAUGUGUACACUCCCUGCCUAGCCCAAAUCACAGUGCUGCGUGUUUGACACCCACCCACUGUGGAACGUAGAUGGGCACCUCUAACAAUCCUGGUUCUGCAAACAAAGACCAGCAGAUUUUUUAAAAAGAAAAGGAAGUAAUAAUGAGGGGUGGGGGUGGGUGAGGACAAUGUCUUGUACUCCUAUGAUCUAUCCAGUCAAAGCCCACAUGAGAGAGUCAUGCAUCCAUUCCACAUUCUCUGACACAGACACACAGACAGUUCUUACUGUAAUGAAAACUCAGUGGAGCUACCUAAAAGAAAAGCAAGACAAUUCUAGAAUGCAAUCGUCUAACCAGCGAUGUAUCACCUUCUCUUUGCCAUAGCUGCUCGGUUGGGUGGCAAUGGGAAUUUCCAGGAGAGGUUUGGGUUUUCAUGGGGACUUUGGCUGCCAAUUCCCUGGCUUUGGUGCUUCCUUCUUUUGCUACAGCAUCCAGCACCAAGUAUCUUUAUUCAAACUGCAACUCUUUAAACCCCAGGAAUGCCAGUUUCAGCGAUUUCGUUGACCCAAACAUGGCUGGAUCUUUUGUGAAUUGCUUGGUAUCUGUGAAGCUCAGAAGCACACCUAGUGGAAAGGAGAUGGUCCUGUUUGCCCUGCGUAGGAGGCAGAGGGACCCUGCUAAAUUAUCCGUGGUGUUCCCUUACGACACUACACUGUCCUUGGACCCCAGCACUCAGCAUGAAACUGCUGGACACUGGGAUCUUUUUGUAACAAGAAGUAGAUUUCAGGUUGGUACUAAAAGGCAGCCACUCACUUUCGGAAGAAUGCACAACAUGGCUUUGAUCACAGGUCUCCCACAGGUAAAAGAUGGUCAUUCACCUGUAACGGGCAGCCAAAACAUCACCUGUCCAUCACAGCUGGGCAGUGAGUCAUCAGCCAAUGGUGUGACGGAGGAUGGAACUUAAGGGGAGGAGCCGGUAUAAAAAGGGGGGUGAAGAGUGUGUGAGGGGAGAUAGAGAUUGGAGAUGAGAGGUUGAGCUGAGGGUUUAAAGUGAUUGUUAGUUAUAGUGAGUGAAAGAGCCUGUCAGUGUGAAAUAGUCUGUGUGAGCCAGUGAUUUAUUUACAGUGAUUGACUUAUUGAUUCUUUACCAGUGAUUUACUAUUUUUAUUUCCUGUAAUCAAUAAACCAGUUUUUG
Molecule: long non-coding RNA, 1753 nt
Organism: Pogona vitticeps (central bearded dragon)
Lineage: Eukaryota; Metazoa; Chordata; Lepidosauria; Squamata; Agamidae
Source: Ensembl